CCUACGGGUGGCUGCAGUGGGGAAUAUUGGACAAUGGGGGAAACCCUGAUCCAGCAAUGCCGCGUGUGUGAAGAAGGCCUGCGGGUUGUAAAGCACUUUCGGUUGGGAAGAAAAGUUUGGCGCCAAUACCGCCGAACCUUGACGUUACUGACAGAAGAAGCACCGGCUAACUCUGUGCCAGCAGCCGCGGUAAUACAGAGGGUGCAAGCGUUAAUCGGAAUGUCUGGGCGUGGUGCGGGAGGUGGGGGGUGAAAUCCCCGGGCUUAACCUGGGAACUGCAUUCGAUACUACAUGGCUAGAGUAUGGUAGAGGGAAGUGGAAUUUCCGGUGUAGCGGUGAAAUGCGUAGAUAUCGGAAGGAACACCAAUGGCGAAGGCAGCUUCCUGGACUAAUACUGACACUGAGGCACGAAAGCGUGGGGAGCAAACAGGAUUAGAUACCCUGGUAGUC
This 450-nucleotide ribosomal RNA is filed under the name uncultured bacterium. Its description in RNAcentral is "partial 16S ribosomal RNA". It matches the Rfam family "Bacterial small subunit ribosomal RNA", at positions 338 to 795 of the family's 1533-position model. The record is from RNAcentral.